Molecule: RNA transcript, 2534 nt
Organism: Raphanus sativus (radish)
Lineage: Eukaryota; Viridiplantae; Streptophyta; Magnoliopsida; Brassicales; Brassicaceae
Gene name: protein phosphatase 2C 7
Exons: 6
Source: RefSeq, a predicted model, not a curated record
AGUUUUUUUCUUUUAGUCUAGGUAAACCCAUCCAUCAGAUCCAGGAGAGUUCAUGUUUCGUUUUGGAAAGACAAAGAUAAAGUUUUAGACUUUUUAGGUUUUGUUUGUGUGGUUCACCUCGUUGAUUGAAACCCUCUCUGUUUCACCUGAUCCUCUGUUUUUGUUUUUUGGAUAAAGUUUUGAGCUUUGUGUCCCUCUCUUGUAAAAGGUUGAAACUUUGGGGGUUUCUAAUUAGGGAUUGUGUUAGAAGAGAUUGAGUGUCUGGUCCUUCUGAUUAGGUGAGAUCAUCAACCACGAGAUACAGAGGAUCUGUUGCUUUAGAUCCAUCAGAUCUGUGACCCAGAGGUACUCACUUCUUCUUGAUUUUGCUACUCUUUGGCUAAAGUUAGUGUCAAGAACGGCGUUUUGGUUGCUGUGGAUAGCUGAAUUGGAUGUUGUAGUAUCAUGAAGAAGAAGAGGAUGAAGAUUAGCCGUUAACGUGUGGGAAGCAAAGCAUAGGAACUAAUGGAAGAGAUUUCACCAGCAGUUGCACUAACUUUGAGUUUAGCCAACACUAUGUGUGACUCUGGAAUCUCGUCUUCUUUGGAUAUCACCGAGCUAGAGAACGUUACUGAUGCAGUUGACAUGCUAUCCGAUCAGAAAGUUCAAAGCUUUAGUAACGGAGAGGUUGAGUAUAUGAUGGAAGAAGACGUAUUAGUAGUAUCUGACGCGACUAUAAUAAGCGAGGGUCUAAUAGUUGUGGACGCUAGGUCUGAGAUUAGUUUACCAGAUAACGGGCGUGUUCUCGCCACGGCUAUCAUCCUAAACGAGACAACCAUAGAUCAGGUUCCCACUGCAGAAGUCCUUAUCACGAGCCUGAAUCACGACGUGAACAUGGAGGAGGUGGUGGCAGCUUCUUCAUCAGAGGUAGUAGUCAUUAGGUUCCCCGAAGAGAAUCACAACGUUGCAAGAGGAGGAGGAAGCAGGAGCGUCUACGAGCUGGAUUGUAUACCUCUCUGGGGAACAGUUUCGAUCUGCGGUGAUAGAUCAGAGAUGGAGGAUGCCGUGAGAGCGCUACCUCGUUUUCUGAAAAUACCUAUUAAAAUGCUUAUGGGAGGAGAUCAUGAAGGGAUGAGUCCGAGUCUCACGCACCUCACUAGUCACUUCUUCGGUGUAUAUGAUGGCCACGGAGGCCUCCAGGUUGCUGACUAUUGUCACGACAGGAUCCAUUUUGCUUUGGCUGAAGAGAUCGAAUGGAUUAAAGAAGAGUUGUUGUGCGAGAGGAACAACACUGGGGAAGGUAGGCAGGUGCUGUGGGAGAAAGUGUUUUUCGAUUGUUUCCUAAAGGUGGAUGAUGAAGUCAAAGGGAAAAUCAACAGACCUGUUGUUGGCUCUCCUGAUGAGAUGGUUCUCGAGGCUGUUUCUCCUGAAACCGUGGGAUCAACCGCCGUGGUUGCUUUGGUUUGCUCGUCGCAUAUAAUAGUCUCGAACUGUGGUGAUUCGAGAGCGGUUUUGCUACGUGGCAAAGAGUCUAUGCCUUUGUCAGUUGAUCACAAACCAGAUAGAGAGGACGAGUAUGCAAGGAUAGAGAGAGCUGGAGGGAAAGUUAUACAAUGGCAAGGCGCUCGUGUCUCUGGCGUUCUAGCCAUGUCCAGGUCCAUUGGUGAUCAAUAUCUGGAGCCAUAUGUGAUACCGGAUCCUGAAGUGACGUUUAUGCCACGAGCAAGAGAAGACGAGUGUUUGAUACUGGCCAGCGAUGGGCUUUGGGACGUGAUGAGUAAUCAAGAGGCUUGUGAGUUUGCGAGGAGACGGAUCUUAUUGUGGCACAAGAGGAAUGGAGCGUUGCCUUUAGCUGAGAGAGGUGUAGGGGAAGACCAGGCUUGCCAAGCCGCUGCUGAUUAUCUCUCGAAGCUCGCUCUUCAAAAGGGAAGCAGAGACAAUAUCUCGAUCAUUGUGGUGGAUCUGAAAGCUCAAAGGAAGUUAAAGACCAGGUCUUGAAACAAUAUGGAUAUUGGAUGUGGUGGUGAUGGUGGUCACAUGUUAUGAAAGUUCUGUGGCUGUGUGGCAAUUAUAUACUUUGCAAAACUAUCAGUGAAGAAGAUAUUGACCCGAGAGAGGAUGCUUUCAUGCUUUCCCCAUUCAUCAAUCCACUGGAGGAGUUCAGAGCAAGUUCUGAGUCACGAAAUCAUCACAUAGAUGCAGAAUAAAAGCUUGUGACGGUUAGAAAAAUCAAAAGUGGGCGUGCCGGAGUGGUUAUCGGGCAUGACUAGAAAUCAUGUGGGCUUUGCCCGCGCAGGAAUCAUUGGAGAAUGUAGUAAACUAAAAUUCACAGCUGCACACACGUGAAGAUAUUCACAGCUACCGAGGAAUCAUUGGAGACUGUAGGAAUCUUUGGUUAAACAAACUCUCAUCUACCGAGGAGUAACAAAACUCAUUCUUAAUUAAUGGGAGACUAUUUUUUUUUAUAAGUAUUAAUGGGAGACUGUAGUAAACUAAAAUUCACAGCUGCACACACGUGAAGAUAUUCCCUCAAUAAUUCUAACAUUUUUUAUUUU